CAUUAUGGAAAUUGUCGAUAGCGUAAGCGACACACAUUUCUUGGUACUAAUGUUUGUCUGGAAGUAAAUGGAAAUGAAACAUAAUGAAGGUACAAUAUUGUCGAUACUGUUACGUGGGGUGUUGUUUUUCCGGUGUCGACAGACGAGGCAGGUAACAUUUAACAUUUCCAAUUGUGUUAUAUGAAUUCAAUUUUGCAAAUUGAUUUUUUAUGAUUUUCCCUGCACUGGCUAUGUUUUAUAUGUCUCUGGUAAUAUAUAGUAAAAUAAUUACCGGUGUCAUACCAUGAAAGAACAACCCCUCAUCUGAAAUCAGGAACAAAAGUGUUCACGGUCACUACAAAAGAUAAAUGUUAUCAACAGUCCGUCUAAGUCCCUCGCUUUCAACAUUUUGCAUAUCUAUAAAUGUCAAAUGGAAUGCUCCACAGUACGGUUUAGUGAUACACGCAAUGCAUUGUGGGAGGACGAUGGCGGGGAUGAGCAGGGGAAAAGAGCCGGCCUAUCCCGAUUCCCAAGACACAGAAAAUAAGCACUGGUGCACAUCCAGUACAAGAAAAUGAUGCUAGACUUUCAUACCAAAACCAACAUGUAAACAGGAAAACAAAAGUUGCUUUGAAUGCAGAAAUAGAUCAAGAUUCUUGUGAGGAAGACAAUGAUUAUGUCCCAACUGAUGAAGAAUCGUCGGAAGAACCAUCAAGCACCACAUUUCCAUCAAAGAGAAAAAGAUGGACAGUGGAUGAGGAGAAUGUCCUGAGAUUUGAAUUUAAUAAGAACUUUAAAGAUAAAAACAUGCAAGAAAUGCUGAAGCACUGAAAGUAAAAAACAAAUACAAAUUUCUUGCUGUUAGAAAUAUUCAUCAGAUAAAGAGUAAAGUGCAACAUAUGCUGAGACGUAAAUGAGUUAACAAAGUUAGGACUUUUGUCAUGCAGUCAAACAUGAUGCUGUGUUAACAUCUUGAAACUAGAACAGUAGCUCCUGAAAAAAAUACCCUGGACUUAUUUUUUUAUCACCUGAGUUAACUUAGAGGUGGAUAAACAAGAGAAUGCUUCAUGGUUUAGAUUGAAGAUUGAAUGUUUAUAUGCAUUAUACCUGUAUACACUCACUGCUUCCUGUCUGCAUCAUUUGUCCCUGAAGUGUGACCUCAUGGUUGGGGUUUUUAGUCAUUUUAAAAUCAUAAUGUCAGCAUUAAGAUGUUAUAAUUUCUUAUACAAUACUUUAUUAUUAUACCCCCCGCAAUAAGUUGUGGGGGGGGGGGGUAUACUGGAAUCGGGUUGUCCGUCUGUCUGUCCGUCCGACCGUCUGUAGACGCAAUAGUUUCCGGGCACUAAAGCAUUAUCCUUUCCACCUACCGUCACCAUAUCAUAUAUAUGGACUACCCAUGGGAUGAAGAUGUUCCCUAUCGAUUUUGGGAUCAAAAGGUCAAAGGUCAAGCGCACUGGACAUUGAAGUAGCAAUAUGGUUUCCGGGCUCUAAAGCGUUAUCCUUUCCACCUACAGUCACCAUAUCAAACAUAUGGACUACCCAUGGGAUGAAGAUGUUCCCUAUCGAUUUUGGGGUCAAAAGGUCAAAGGUCAAGCGCACUGAACAUUGAAGUAGCAAUAUGGUUCCCGGGCUCUAAAGCGUUAUCCUUUCCACUUACAGUCACCAUAUCAUAUAUAUGGACUACCCAUGGGAUGAAGAUGUUCCUUAUGGAUUUUGGGGUUAAAAGGUCAAAGGUCAUGCGCACUGGACAUCGAAGUAGCAAUAUGGUUCGGUUUGUCAUGCCAUUUGUUUUUUAUACUCAGAAAAGAGGUAGUUUAUACCUAUUACCAACACCCUUUGGGAGAUUGGGGUAAGCGGGGGUAUUCCUAGUGAGCAUUGCUCACAGUACCUCUUGCUUGUUGCUGUUUUUGUUUAAGGUUAAGUGAACAUGAUUGAAAUAUUAUGUGAGUACACACCCUAUGAUAACUACAUUGUAUCUGCAUCUUUUGUCCCUAGGGUGUAGUUUGAAUUGCAUUAAUGUAAAGAUAUAAAGGUUUUUUUAAAAACUGCUAUGAGUAUUGCAUCUAUUGCAUAUAUUUUAAAAGUCUAUUACAAAUGCAUUUUAGAAAUACUUAUAGUAUAAGAAGACAGUCAUGUUGCAUAUCUAAUGGGUAGGUUAUUAAAAAGGUUAUAAUAUCUGUCCUUCGGAGGGUUAUAAUCAAACACUUGAUGCAGGCAAGCACAAGGUGACUGGCACCUCUGGUUUUUAGCUCUACUAGACCAGAAGAGCUUAUGUUAUGGUAAAGUGUCCUUUUUCCAUCCAUCUGUCUGUCUGUAUGUGAACAAUUUUUAAAAUGCUACAACUCCUACACAUUUUGUCCGAUUUCAAUAAAACUCGGUGCAUGGGUAGACUACAUUAAGAUGCACAAUUCUGUACAUUUGUUCUUAAUUUCAAUGAAUGAUGUUGCCAUGGUUACAAAAAACAAAUAAUCUGAAACUCUUUCCAAAAACUACUCCGACGACAGUUUUGGUCUGAUUUAAAUAAAAUUUUGUACACAAGUAAAUUACAUCAAAAUCCAUAAUUCUAUUUAUCAGUUUUUGAUUACAUUAAAUGGUGUUGCCAUGGUUACUAGAAGAAGAAGAAUCUAUAAAAUUCUUUCAAAAUGCUACAAAAAUUGCACAGUUUUGACCUAAUUUCAAUUGAAUAUUACAAGUUCACACCAGUAGAGCUAUAGCCUUAUUAGAGAAUUGGUUAUAAUUAUACCAUGAAUCUAAUUAAACUAUAUAAUAAAAUGAAGAAGAAAGAAUGCAAAUCUAAUACCUAAGUUGUUUUUUUUUUCAAUGACAUAUUAAUUUUCAGCAAAUCUAUUCUUAUGUGUUAUUUUAUUAUUUAAAAAAAAAAAAAAACAUUAAUAACCAUGAUGUAGUGUUUUAUCGAUAUCAAGAAUGUUCAGAUCUAUUGAUCAUGUAUAUGAAAUGAUGCAUAAAACAUUUUCCUAACUUUGAGAAAUAAACUAUAAUCUUUAACUGAUAAAGUGUUACCUUAUUAGUGUU
Molecule: RNA transcript, 3012 nt
Organism: Ostrea edulis (European flat oyster)
Lineage: Eukaryota; Metazoa; Mollusca; Bivalvia; Ostreida; Ostreidae
Gene name: multiple epidermal growth factor-like domains protein 10
Exons: 6
Source: RefSeq, a predicted model, not a curated record